UCUUAUCAAGAGCAGGCGGAGGGACUAGCCCGAUGAAGCCCGGCAACCGGCGUAAGCACGGUGCUAAUUCUUGCGGAGACCAAUGGUUACAGGUUUCUGAGAGAUGAGA
Molecule: non-coding RNA, 109 nt
Filed under: Megasphaera massiliensis
Lineage: Bacteria; Bacillati; Bacillota; Negativicutes; Veillonellales; Veillonellaceae
Description: SAM riboswitch (S box leader)
Rfam family: SAM riboswitch aptamer (S box leader)
About the family: The SAM riboswitch is found upstream of a number of genes which code for proteins involved in methionine or cysteine biosynthesis in Gram-positive bacteria. The SAM riboswitch acts at the level of transcription termination control. The predicted structure consists of a complex stem-loop region followed by a single stem loop terminator region.
Source: RNAcentral